UUUGUUGCGGUUGUUGUUGUUGACGUUGAUUUUGAUACUGAUGUUAUUGUUGUUGAAUUGGUGUUGUUGGUUGAUUUGAAAAUACUGGAAUGAUGGAAGAUACUUGAUGAUGAUGAUGUUGACGGGGUGGUAAAUUCCUUCUUACUUGAGGCCUCCUUUGCCUCCCACUGCUUACUGCAUUUGUUUCAUUUUCCUUCCUCUUGCUAAAAUUUC
Molecule: long non-coding RNA, 213 nt
Filed under: Lathyrus oleraceus (garden pea)
Lineage: Eukaryota; Viridiplantae; Streptophyta; Magnoliopsida; Fabales; Fabaceae
Description: Pisum sativum (pea) long non-coding RNA (PSAT_LNC038422)
Source: RNAcentral